GACGAACGCUGGCGGCGUGCUUAACACAUGCAAGUCGAACGGUGAAGCGCCUUCCUUUUUGGUGGGUGUGGAUGAGUGGCGAACGGGUGAGUAACACGUGAGUAACCUGCCCCCUUCUUCUGGAUAACCGCAUGAAAGUGUGGCUAAUACGGGAUAUUCUGGGUCUGUCGCAUGAUGGGUCUGGGAAAGAUAUUGUUUCGGAGGGGGAUGGGCUCGCGGCCUAUCAGCUUGUUGGUGGGGUGAUGGCCUACCAAGGCGGUGACGGGUAGCCGGCCUGAGAGGGUGGACGGUCACACUGGGGCUGAGACGCGGCGCAGACUCCUGCGGGAGGCAGCAGUGAGGAAUAUUGCACAGUGGGCGCCAGCCUGAUGCAGCGCCGCCGCGUGAGGGAUGGAGGCCUUCGGGUUGUGAACCUCUUUCGCCAGUGAAGCAGGCCUGCCUCGUUUGUGGGUGGGUUGACGGUAGCUAGAUAAGAAGCGCCGGCUAACUACGUG
This 494-nucleotide ribosomal RNA is filed under the name uncultured bacterium. RNAcentral describes it as "partial 16S ribosomal RNA". It matches the Rfam family "Bacterial small subunit ribosomal RNA", at positions 28 to 507 of the family's 1533-position model. The record is from RNAcentral.